Molecule: long non-coding RNA, 2030 nt
Organism: Tigriopus californicus
Lineage: Eukaryota; Metazoa; Arthropoda; Copepoda; Harpacticoida; Harpacticidae
Exons: 2
Source: RefSeq, a predicted model, not a curated record
UAGAGCUGAAAUCCUGUUAAAAUUGUUCAAAUCUGACUUCCCCUCCUCGCCACCCAAAAAUACAACUUGGCGCAUUGUCCAAACAUAUCUGAAUAGAUGUGUUAUCUACCACAUAAAUUGAGCGAAAACAGAUUUUAAAAAAUGCAUGUCCGGGAUCUUUCAUGACUAUUGCCAGAAGUGGUUCUCUCAGGCUCGCACGUUUGAAUCUCGCGAUUCCCAACUCUCAAAUCCCGCCUCAUCCCUCACGCCCCUUUAUCCUUCCUCGUCCCUUUGAGAGUGGACGGACGCCUUGCUUGUGGUGGCCCCGCUCGAGCACACGGCUCUCUGCUCACUCACCAUCCACCAUCUGGGUCUCAAUGGUCCCAAUCCACCACCACCAUUCACCACCCACCACCAACGAUUCCGUGCCCCUCGCCGUCUCACGGCUCACCACCCUCCAAGGACUGACUGACUGCGUACGGGAGAGCGGACAAGACUUGAAGCCACAACAGACGACGGAGACGGACCAGACUCCAUUUUAACGGACAAAAAAGGGAUUGAAUGGGCCUUGGCAUUGUCCACAAUUCGAGUUUGUUAGAGCGAAGAGAAAAAUAUCCCUUUACUAGUGCUACAUAUCAUCAGGAUCGUUGGAUAAUUUUACCCCAUGAUUGCAUAUCUAAUCUAGUCUCAAGAUGAUGUGUCUUCUACCCGCUAAUGCCGCUACUCAUGCGGGUGCUGCCACGGCUACGGUGGGUUCACCAACUCGGAUUUGACCGCCAGUUCGCGUUUAUUAUUCGAUUCGGAAUCUUCCUCGCCUCUUCACCUGAGAGUAGUUCACCGUCACCUCCGAUGAUGACACACCCGCUUCCACCUCAGGCUGCGGCCGUCUAGAAGCGGACCAGGGCCGACCCCCUGCCCGUGAAAUGUGCCAGUCCGCCCCAAGGAGAACAGUGUUCCGAGGAUGAGCGAAGCAGUGCCAUGAUACCUUCAUUGAAAGAGCGUGUCGAGCAGUCUCAUGAAGAACUCCUUCAAUUGAAAAUGAACCUACCCACCCAUUGGGAAGAGAAAUUCCCGGGCCGCGGCUUACCCUCAUCUUCCCUGGUUAAAGUGACUUUUGCAACAUGCGUCAAAACAUUUCAGACCUCCGCCGUAAACGGAUGCGUUCUCGAAAGAAGAGCCAAGAUUCAAUCAAACGUCGCAGCUCAACCUUAAGCACCGCCUCCUCUUCAACCGCUGCCAGCAUGACUUCAUCUGUGACUAGUGAUAUUGAAGAUGAACCCGCUCCAAGAAAGCUUUGCCCGUUAUUCAGGAAUGCGAGACUCGACCCGUGUCCGUGGCCGAUUCUCACAUAUCAAUCCUAUCCAAUCCUCGGGUCAUGGAGAGAAUGAGUUGGAAAGCGGUCUCUCAGACUUGGAAAAUAACGAGUCCUUGCUCAAGACGUGUUCUCAGGGUUCGCUAUUAGUGCGGUCUUCGGAGCAUGCAGUCAGUAUUAAAAAAUCCCACAAUCUCGCUCAUAGUUCAAACGAAACAUUGAUUAUCAAAAGUGACCUGGAGAUUCUUCAGCCUAGCAAUACCUGCCAGCCUCAAGAUCAAAGUCGAACGUCUUAUUUCGAAGAUGAAAUUGCCGAAGCCUGUGAUCUCGAAGCUGCAGAUUGGUUAUCGGAUGACGAAGAUCGAGCCACUUCUGAUCUCAGUGGGAGCUUUCUUCGAUCGUUUUUGAAUCAAAUUCAGAAUGACCAGCGUUUUAAUUGCUCCAUUCCUCUAGUUGAUCUGUUCCAAAACUCUCCUCUGGACUCAUUCAUUUGUUACGGUUGUUCCAUGCCAUAUUCCAAGAGCAAUGCUUUUACCAUUAACCUGACAGAUCAAACUGUCUCCGUGAUCUGUGGCCAUUGUCAGUGGUGGACCACCCGGAGGAUUACCACACAGACCUAUUCAUUCUAGACACAUCCGAUGACUUUUAUCGCAACCUAACGUACCACAUCAUCGCUCACCAAUCGCAAAAGCAAAUUUUGUAUUCUCCUAAUCUGAAUAAUAGAUUCAUAUUAUUUUUA